CCUGGCUCAGAUUGAACGCUGGCGGCAUGCCUUACACAUGCAAGUCGAACGGCAGCGGGGACUUCGGUCCGCCGGCGAGUGGCGAACGGGUGAGUAAUGUAUCGGAACGUACCUUUCAGUGGGGGAUAACGUAGCGAAAGUUACGCUAAUACCGCAUAUUCUGUGAGCAGGAAAGCAGGGGAUCGCAAGACCUUGCGCUGAUUGAGCGGCCGAUAUCAGAUUAGCUAGUUGGUGAGGUAAAGGCUCACCAAGGCGACGAUCUGUAGCGGGUCUGAGAGGAUGAUCCGCCACACUGGAACUGAGACACGGUCCAGACUCCUACGGGAGGCAGCAGUGGGGAAUUUUGGACAAUGGGCGCAAGCCUGAUCCAGCCAUGCCGCGUGAGUGAAGAAGGCCUUCGGGUUGUAAAGCUCUUUCGGCCGGGAAGAAAUCGCACGGGUUAAUACCCUGUGUGGAUGACGGUACCGGAAUAAGAAGCACCGGCUAACUACGUG
Molecule: ribosomal RNA, 494 nt
Filed under: uncultured bacterium
Lineage: Bacteria
Description: bacterial SSU rRNA
Rfam family: Bacterial small subunit ribosomal RNA
Source: RNAcentral